This 97-nucleotide microRNA precursor is filed under the name Camelus bactrianus (Bactrian camel). RNAcentral's name for it is "mir-544 microRNA precursor family". It matches the Rfam family "mir-544 microRNA precursor family". Lineage: Eukaryota; Metazoa; Chordata; Mammalia; Artiodactyla; Camelidae. RNAcentral also lists the same sequence under 1 other name. The record is from Rfam by way of RNAcentral.
AUCACCUGGGAAUCUUGUUAAAAUUCAGAUUCUGAUUCAGUGGGUCUGGGUGGGGCCUGAGAGUCUGGAUUUGCUACAAGCUCUCAGGUGAUGCUGA